Molecule: unclassified non-coding RNA, 238 nt
Filed under: uncultured Inocybe
Lineage: Eukaryota; Fungi; Basidiomycota; Agaricomycetes; Agaricales; Cortinariaceae
Description: sequence contains ITS1
Source: RNAcentral
UCGAAAAACAAGCAUGGCGAGUUGUCGCUGGCCCAUACCAGGGUCGUGCACGCUCGUCGUUCUUCAUUUCUCCAUCUAUUUGUGCACCUCUUGUGUGGAUCCAUGUUCCUUUGGGGACGAUGGGGGACUGCUUCGCAAUGCCUUUGUUUUUGCAGGCUUUCCUUGUGGUAAGAUCCUCAUUUUCUUCACAUACCACUAGAAAACAAUAGAGAAGGGUUGAAUUAUAAAUAUGAAUAUA